CGUCAGGACUUGGAAGUUAAUCUUUGGCUUGUAGGUGAGUGGGCGCUACGAACGAAUACCCGAACGAGAGAAGGUGACUCUGCUGUGGUCGGGUUUCUGCUGUGUACUGUGAGGCGAUUUUAGAGGUUUGCGCUUAAGAGUGGUAUUUGUUUGAAUUUUCCACGUGGUAAACACGCACCCAGACCGCCGUGUGGCUCAAGCGAUGGCUGCCGCCGUCGAGCUUAGAUAUGAGGAGGCCGCUGACUCACCUCGGACGCCGCGCACUCGCCCUGGGAGCUGGAUCUAGCAGCCGGAUAAACCAAAACGGCCGUGGGAGAACCCAUUUUCAGGCUAUGGGAGUCACCUAUGAGCCAUUACUAAUACGGCGAAUGCUUUCCAAAUACAGCGGAUGGAUGUUUAAAAAUAAUACAGGAGACUAUGGUCUGUAAUUGUGCCCAGGCGGAGUUGCGUGCAAUUCAAACUAAUGAAGAAUUUAAUACUGGGAACUUUGAAAUGGGACAUUUUUUUUUUAAAGACUUAUUUUAAAUAUCUCUCCUCCGCAGCCGCAAUGGCCUUACCUAUCGGUAUAUCGGAGCUGUUGUGUGGAUAUACUAAGAUGCAAAGAAAAGUUUCAAAACCAGUGGAAAAAUAUUUGGUGGGAAAUUACUUUGUUAAAACCUGACAAUUUUGAAAGUAUUCUUGCGGUUGAUUGAAGUCGAAUGAAACUAUGGAUGUUGCUAAAUACCAGUUUCAUUUGAAAUGAGUGAUCGCUAUCCAUUGACAGGCCAGCUGGUUGUGACGUUCCGAAGGGCCCAUACCAUGAGGUUAAAUUUGUGAAAAACUGGCAAUGAAAAUAAGAAAAAGAGCACUUGAUUUGACAGACGCGGAAGGAAAAUCUCUUUGUAAACGUGAAAUGUAUAUUAGUAUCUCAAUAAAAUUCAAGUCGUUUCUUUCACUACCCUAAAAUCCAGCUAUUAACAGUUUGCUUAAAUUAUAAAGGUAAAAACCUCACACAUGAAA
This is a long non-coding RNA of Choloepus didactylus (southern two-toed sloth), 999 nucleotides long. RefSeq lists it as uncharacterized. The transcript has 5 exons. NCBI's taxonomy places the organism in Eukaryota, Metazoa, Chordata, Mammalia, Pilosa, Megalonychidae. The record is from RefSeq and is a predicted model, not a curated record.